GUCCACGCAGUAAACGAUGAAUACUAGCUGUAUGCGAUAUACUGUAUGUGGCAAAGCGAAAGCGUUAAGUAUUCCACCUGGGGAGUACGUUCGCAAGAAUGAAACUCAAAGGAAUUGACGGGGGCCCCGCACAAGCGGAGGAACAUGUGGUUUAAUUCGAUGAUACGCGAGGAACCUUACCCGGGCUUGAAAUGCAUCUGACCGAUCUGGAAACAGAUUUUCUAGCAAUAGCAGAUGUGUAGGUGCUGCAUGGUUGUCGU
RNAcentral lists this ribosomal RNA (260 nucleotides) under uncultured bacterium. RNAcentral describes it as "partial 16S ribosomal RNA". It matches the Rfam family "Bacterial small subunit ribosomal RNA", at positions 793 to 1055 of the family's 1533-position model. The record is from RNAcentral.